RNAcentral lists this ribosomal RNA (253 nucleotides) under uncultured bacterium. Its description in RNAcentral is "partial 16S ribosomal RNA". It matches the Rfam family "Bacterial small subunit ribosomal RNA", at positions 524 to 776 of the family's 1533-position model. The record is from RNAcentral.
UACGUAGGGUGCGAGCGUUAAUCGGAAUUACUGGGCGUAAAGCGUGCGCAGGCGGCGCGUUAAGACAGGUGUGAAAGCCCCGAGCUUAACUUGGGAAUUGCGCUUGUGACUGGCGUGCUGGAGUGUGGCAGAGGGAGGUGGAAUUCCACGUGUAGCAGUGAAAUGCGUAGAGAUCCGGAGGAAGACCGGUGGCGAAGGCGGCCUGCUGGGCAGUUACUGACACUGAUGCGCGACAGCGUGGGGAGCAAACAGG